Non-coding RNA from Archocentrus centrarchus (flier cichlid), 354 nucleotides. NCBI's taxonomy places the organism in Eukaryota, Metazoa, Chordata, Actinopteri, Cichliformes, Cichlidae. The record is from the annotation of a RefSeq genome assembly.
AUGUUCUCUGCAGCUCUGAUACUGCUGUUUGUUGCUGGAUCCUGUGUUAAAGGUCAGACUCUGACAGAAUCUGAACCAGCAGUUAAACGACCUGGAGAUUCUCACAGAUUGACCUGCACAGUCUCUGGAUUCUCACUCAGCAGCUACUGGAUGCACUGGAUCAGACAGGCUCCUGGAAAAGGACUGGAGUGGAUCGCUGCUGAUGGUGGUGGUGGUAGCAAAUACUACUCUCAGUCAGUUCAAGGCCGGUUUACCAUCUCCAGAGACAACAGCAGACAGCAGCUGUAUCUGCAGAUGAGCAGCCUGAAGACUGAAGAUUCUGCUGUUUAUUAUUGUGCUCGAGACUCACAGUGA